UACGUAGGGAGCAAGCGUUGUCCGGAAUCAUUGGGCGUAAAGCGCGCGUAGGCGGCCCGAUAAGUCCGUUGUGAAAGUCAAAGGCUCAACCUUUGAAUGCCGAUGGAUACUGUCGGGCUAGAGUCCGGAAGAGGCGAGUGGAAUUCCUGGUGUAGCGGUGGAAUGCGCAGAUAUCAGGAGGAACACCAAUAGCGAAGGCAGCUCGCUGGGACGGCACUGACGCUAAGGCGCGAAAGCGUGGGGAGCGAACAGG
Molecule: ribosomal RNA, 253 nt
Filed under: uncultured bacterium
Lineage: Bacteria
Description: partial 16S ribosomal RNA
Rfam family: Bacterial small subunit ribosomal RNA
Source: RNAcentral